RNAcentral lists this ribosomal RNA (456 nucleotides) under uncultured bacterium. RNAcentral's name for it is "SSU rRNA". It matches the Rfam family "Bacterial small subunit ribosomal RNA", at positions 26 to 518 of the family's 1533-position model. The record is from RNAcentral.
AGGACGAACGCUGGCGGCGUGCUUAACACAUGCAAGUCGAACGUGAUCCGGGGCUUGCUCCGGUGAAAGUGGCGGACGGGUGAGUAACGCGUGGGAACCUGCCCAGUGGUCGGGGAUAACUGCGGGAAACUGCAGCUAAUACCCGGUAAGCCCUAUGGGGGAAAGAUUUAUCGCCAUUGGAGGGGCCCGCGUCGGAUUAGGUAGUUGGUGGGGUAAAGGCCUACCAAGCCUUCGAUCCGUAGCUGGUCUGAGAGGAUGAUCAGCCACACUGGGACUGAGAUACGGCCCAGACUCCUACGGGAGGCAGCAGUGGGGAAUAUUGGACAAUGGGCGCAAGCCUGAUCCAGCAAUGCCGCGUGAGUGAAGAAGGCCUUAGGGUUGUAAAGCUCUUUCGGCGGGGACGAUGAUGACGGUACCCGCAGAAGAAGCCCCGGCUAACUCCGCGCCAGCAGCCGC